This 465-nucleotide ribosomal RNA is filed under the name uncultured bacterium. RNAcentral describes it as "bacterial SSU rRNA". It matches the Rfam family "Bacterial small subunit ribosomal RNA", at positions 330 to 792 of the family's 1533-position model. The record is from RNAcentral.
GCCAGACUCCUACGGGAGGCAGCAGUGAGGAAUAUUGGUCAAUGGGCGGGAGCCUGAACCAGCCAAGUCGCGUGAGGGAAGACGGUCCUACGGAUUGUAAACCUCUUUUGCCGGGGAGCAACGGGGUCCUUGCGAGGGCCCGAUGAGAGUACCCGGAGAAAAAGCAUCGGCUAACUCCGUGCCAGCAGCCGCGGUAAUACGGAGGAUGCGAGCGUUAUCCGGAUUUAUUGGGUUUAGAGGGUGCGCAGGCGGAAUGUCAAGUCAGCGGUAAAAUUUCGGGGCUCAACCCCGUCGUGCCGUUGAAACUGGCGUUCUUGAGUGAGCGAGAAGUAUGCGGAAUGCGUGGUGUAGCGGUGAAAUGCAUAGAUAUCACGCAGAACCCCGAUUGCGAAGGCAGCCUUCCGGCGCCCUACUGACGCUGAGGCACGAAAGUGCGGAGAUCGAACAGGAUUAGAUACCCGUGUA